This is a long non-coding RNA of Populus euphratica (Euphrates poplar), 168 nucleotides long. RefSeq lists it as uncharacterized. The record is from RefSeq and is a predicted model, not a curated record. Lineage: Eukaryota; Viridiplantae; Streptophyta; Magnoliopsida; Malpighiales; Salicaceae. The transcript is spliced from 2 exons.
GCCUGUUCAUUGUCACCAAGCAUUUUCCUUAUCUGCAACAAACACCAUAAACAAAGGAAUCAGGUGUGAACAAAACAAUUCAAUGAACAAACCCAAAAUCAUCAAAUCACCCAUUGCCAAGCCAAAUUCACAUUCCACACUCCAACCAAGCCAAACACAUUUCGAAAA